UGAAACACAACAUUCAAGCCUAAAAAAGCAGAGAUAUACCCUCGUACCUUUUGCAUCAUGUUUUAGCUAGUAAAAUCAAGCAAAGAGAACUAUAGUUUGAAACCCCGAAACCAAGUGAGCUACUCCGAAACAGCUUACAUAGAGCCAACCCUUCUCUGUAGCAAAAGAGUGGGAAGAGUUCCGAGUAGAGGUGACAAACCUACCGAACUUGGUUAUAGCUGGUUACCUGAGAAAUGAAUAGAAGUUCAGCUCUGUUCUUCCUUCAAUCAAUUUAGUAUUACUAAAAUAGAUCAAAGAAACAAACAGAAGUUACUCAUAGAAGGUACAGCUUCUUUGAGAAAGGAUACAACCUUAAAGAGAGGUAAAGGCUUAUAAUUUUAUAAAGCACCAUUUCAGUGGGCCUAAAAGCAGCCACCUGUUUAGAAAGCGUUAAAGCUCAAAUGGAGUAUAGCUCCUUAUAACUAUAAUUAAUUCCUACACCCUCACAAUUAUCAGGUUAUUUCAUGCACCCAUGAAAGAAAUAAUGCUAGAAUGAGUAACAAGAAGAAUGAACUUCUCCAAGCACAUGUGUAAGUUGGAUCGGACACCCCACCAACAAUUAACGAACUCAACCAAAGAGAGUAAUGCAAUAAUAAAAAUAAACUAGAAAAACAUGCAUAACCUAUCGUUACCCCUACACAGGAGUGCCAUUAGGAAAGACUUAAAGGUGAAGAAGGAACUCGGCAAACAUAAACCUCGCCUGUUUACCAAAAACAUCGCCUCCUGAAUAAUAAAACAUAGGAGGUCCCGCCUGCCCUGUGACCAAAAGUUUAACGGCCGCGGUAUUUUGACCGUGCGAAGGUAGCGCAAUCACUUGUCUUUUAAAUGAAGACCUGUAUGAAUGGCAUAACGAGGGUUUAACUGUCUCCUUCCCCUAGUCAGUGAAAUUGAUCUGCCCGUGAAGAAGCGGACAUAAUAAUACAAGACGAGAAGACCCUAUGGAGCUUAAGACACAAGACCAAACAUGUUAAACAACCCCAAAUAGGUAAAAACACAAUGAAAUCUGGUCCCAAAUGUCUUCGGUUGGGGCGACCAUGGGGAAAAAUAAAACCCCCACGCUGAUUGGGAUAACCUCCUAAAACUAAGAAAUACAUUUCUAAGCCACAGAAUUUCUGACUUAUAUGAUCCGGCCCAAAAGCCGAUCAACGAACCAAGUUACCCUAGGGAUAACAGCGCAAUCCUCUUUUAGAGUCCAUAUCGACAAGAGGGUUUACGACCUCGAUGUUGGAUCAGGACAUCCUAAUGGUGCAGCCGCUAUUAA
This 1300-nucleotide ribosomal RNA is filed under the name Denticeps clupeoides (denticle herring). RNAcentral describes it as "partial 16S ribosomal RNA". It matches the Rfam family "Bacterial large subunit ribosomal RNA", at positions 539 to 2568 of the family's 2925-position model. The record is from RNAcentral. Lineage: Eukaryota; Metazoa; Chordata; Actinopteri; Clupeiformes; Denticipitidae.